RNAcentral lists this long non-coding RNA (298 nucleotides) under Medicago truncatula (barrel medic). RNAcentral describes it as "long non-coding RNA (MTRU_LNC004783)". Lineage: Eukaryota; Viridiplantae; Streptophyta; Magnoliopsida; Fabales; Fabaceae. The record is from RNAcentral.
UUUAUCUUCACCAUGUUUUAUCCCUUUGUAUGGGUCCUAAACAACAUGGGUUGCCCGUGAUAUGGGACCACAACAAUUCACAAGAUCCAAAUCUAAUCCACGGGUUUCUUUUUAGGUCACUAAUCAAUCCUUCUUCUCUGUGUUUUUUGUUUCUUUGUCCCCACAUUUCCAUACAACACCCCCUUAGCUGCAUGAUAUUCAGUUAGGGACACUUCUUUUCAUCAACCAAUUUUAAGAAUAUGUGUGUGGCUUGAAAGGGAACUUGAAUCCCUCAUCUUUUUUAAGGAUGUGAUUGGAG